GAUGAACGCUAGCUACAGGCUUAACACAUGCAAGUCGAGGGGAAACGAUAGAGAAAGCUUGCUUUUUCUAGGCGUCGACCGGCGCACGGGUGAGUAACGCGUAUCCAACCUGCCCACCACUUGGGAAUAACCUUGCGAAAGUAAGACUAAUACCCAAUGAUAUCUCUAGAAGACAUCUGAAGGAGAUUAAAGAUUUAUCGGUGAUGGAUGGGGAUGCGUCUGAUUAGCUUGUUGGCGGGGUAACGGCCCACCAAGGCGACGAUCAGUAGGGGUUCUGAGAGGAAGGUCCCCCACAUUGGAACUGAGACACGGUCCAAACUCCUACGGGAGGCAGCAGUGAGGAAUAUUGGUCAAUGGGCGGGAGCCUGAACCAGCCAAGUAGCGUGCAGGAUGACGGCCCUAUGGGUUGUAAACUGCUUUUAUAAGGGAAUAAAGUGAGCCUCGUGAGGCUUUUUGCAUGUACCUUAUGAAUAAGGACCGGCUAAUUCCGUGCCAGCAGCCGCGGUAA
Molecule: ribosomal RNA, 508 nt
Filed under: uncultured bacterium
Lineage: Bacteria
Description: partial 16S ribosomal RNA
Rfam family: Bacterial small subunit ribosomal RNA
Source: RNAcentral